RNAcentral lists this long non-coding RNA (210 nucleotides) under Chelydra serpentina (North American snapping turtle). RNAcentral's name for it is "lncRNA (ENSCSRG00000001175.1)". The record is from RNAcentral. Lineage: Eukaryota; Metazoa; Chordata; Testudines; Chelydridae.
CCCACAGCCACAACUGGGACUCCACACAAAUGACCAAGGAUUUUAUGGGGGAGAGACGCUUUCUGCUGGAAAAGCAUGAGACUCUCACAACUCUCUACCAUGAGGAGGGGAAUUCCUCUCUCUUGGUGGGAGCGGAGGGAAAGCUCUACUACUUCGACUUUGAGCGCUUCAGUAACCACACGGAGGACUUCCCUGAACAGGAUUCAGAAG